UACAACCAUUACGCCAGCAUCCUAGCCGAAGCGCGGACCUCAGUCCCGGCUGGCCGUAUUACACCCUGGGCUAUAACACCUCCACCGAAGUGGAGGCCACAUUCCCAGAGCCUUUAUCCGGCCGCCGAAACUGAUGCUGGCCUGUCCAAACUGAGUAAACCGGUCAGAAGACCGGCCGAACAGUUUAAACAAGUCUGAUUGCAAGCGCUUCCCUUUCAACAAUUUCACGUGCUUUUUAACUCUCUUUCCAAAGUGCUUUUCAUCUUUCGAUCACUCUACUUGUGCGCUAUCGGUCUCUCGCCAAUAUUUAGCUUUAGAAGAAAUUUACCUCCCAUUUAGAGCUGCAUUCCCAAACAACUCGACUCGUCGAAGGAGAUUUACAUAGGGUGCCAUUUCCUGUCACAUACGGGAUUCUCACCCUCUAUGACGUCCUGUUCCAAGGAACUUAGACAGGCGGCUUCCCCAAAUCAUCCUCUACAAAUUACAAUGCGAACCCGAAGGCUAGCUUUCAAAUUUGAGCUGUUGCCGCUUCACUCGCCGUUACUAGGGCA
Molecule: ribosomal RNA, 551 nt
Filed under: Aureobasidium proteae
Lineage: Eukaryota; Fungi; Ascomycota; Dothideomycetes; Dothideales; Saccotheciaceae
Description: partial 26S ribosomal RNA
Source: RNAcentral